CUUUAUUGAUCCUUCGAUCUUGUGGAUACCCGUGCAGCUUGUAACACCUCUCCUCAGUGUGUCUUUGUCUCUUACAACAAUCACAAAAGGGCCGUGGCCUAUUUCCAAGGUGUCCUCCUCUGUAGUUAUUGUUUCCACCUCUAUCGCCUUGUUGAUUAAAGUUCACAUAUCCAGAAUUGUCUCCAACAUUUGUAGAUUGACCAAAGCUUGUCCUGAAAUUCUUUCCUCCUUAUUUAUUGACACUUAGGGCAAUAGAUUCCAUCACCAGUUGAUUAUUUGGCUUAACCUCUCUUUUGUUUUCUUCGUGGAUGAGUAUUGAGAAAGCAUGUGCAAGUGAGGGUAGUGGAUUCAUCAUCAAAAUGUCGCCACUAACCAUAGUAUAGACCUCGUUUAGUCCUACUAGGAAUUGAAUCAGCUUUUAUCUUGUUCUACCUUUUGCAUGUUGGCCUUAGCACCACAUGUGCAUUUGCAUUUGCAUUCAGCGUGUUUAAUUCCUCCCAAAGUUUCUUCAUCUUACUGUAGUACCCCGUGAUAUCCAGGGUUCCUUAACUCAAUUCAUUUUUCUCCCUUUGCAAUUGGUAUAAUUUAUCCCCAUUCGUCUGGUCAUAUCUAUCUUCAGGUUCCUUCCAAAGUUCCUGAGCAUCAUCAACGUACUACACGCUAUCCGCCAAAUCCUUCGAGAUAGAGUUCAGGAUCCAAGAUGUGACCAUAUUGUCACAACGUUCCCACAGUUCAUACAAGGGAUCCUGAGGCUGUAGUUUUGUACAUUUUCUAUUUUUGAACCCUACUUUGUUCUUCACUUAGAGAGCUCUUAGAAAACCUCGCCUCCAUGACCUAUAUCCCGAUCCGUAAAAACUUUUUGAUACUAGAACAGAUCUAGCACUUUCAGAUGGAUGCAUGUACAACGGACUAGUCGAAUCUGGAGCUACAUUCGUAGAUCCUGUCGUGUUCACCGUAUCGACCAUGAUUAUCGAUACUUGUAUCGAAGAAUCCAAAUUCUCACAGAAAGAGAUUGCUUUGAGAAACUAUGUUCGAAAUUGGGGAAAGAGAUGACUAGCUCAGCUAGAGAUUAAGAGACCUAUUCUGGUACUAUGUCAAAAUACUUGAGAAAAUGAAAAAGAACAACUCACCUUCAGCUGAGCUCUAAUGGCGGUUGAGAGAAGCCAUGUGAGAAGAAGUUUCCAGAAGAGAGAAAGAUAUUUUCUAUUACAAAA
This 1214-nucleotide long non-coding RNA is filed under the name Nicotiana benthamiana. Its description in RNAcentral is "long non-coding RNA (NBEN_LNC036479)". Lineage: Eukaryota; Viridiplantae; Streptophyta; Magnoliopsida; Solanales; Solanaceae. The record is from RNAcentral.